This 152-nucleotide ribosomal RNA is filed under the name Polytoma uvella. RNAcentral's name for it is "large subunit ribosomal RNA". The record is from RNAcentral. Lineage: Eukaryota; Viridiplantae; Chlorophyta; Chlorophyceae; Chlamydomonadales; Chlamydomonadaceae.
UAUUCUUAGGUAGCGGAACGUCCUGUGUUGAAACCGUGCAAACGUAACAGGAGCGAGCAUGCACACAUGAGUAACAAAGAUGAGAACAACCAUUGCCGAAUAUUCAAGGGUUAAAGCCAUGUGAAACGACAAAUUAGAGAAGAGCCAAAGUC